Molecule: ribosomal RNA, 462 nt
Filed under: uncultured bacterium
Lineage: Bacteria
Description: partial 16S ribosomal RNA
Rfam family: Bacterial small subunit ribosomal RNA
Source: RNAcentral
GAUGAACGCUGACAGAAUGCUUAACACAUGCAAGUCCUUGGCGAAGCUGCGCUUGCGCAGUCUAGCCAAGGCGGACGGGUGAGUAACGCGUAAGGAACUUGCCCUGCAGACAGGGAUAACAGACGGAAACGACUGAUAACACCACGUAUUGUCAGGCUGUCGCAUGCCGGCCUGAUGAAAGGAUACGCUGCCGGAGAGCCUUGCGUCCUAUUAGCUAGUUGGUGGGGUAACUGCCCACCAAGGCGAUGAUAGGUAGCCGGCCUGAGAGGGGGAACGGCCACAGGGGGACUGAUAUACGGCCGACACCUCUGCGGGAGGCAGGUGUGGGGUAUAGUGGACAAUGCGGGCGACUCAGGUACAGCCAUCCUGUGUGCAAGAAGAAGGUUUUCGGAGUGUAAAGCGCUUUCAGGAGAGAAAGAGAAAGUGACGGUACCUGCAGAAGAAGCGACGGCUAAAUACGUG